Molecule: long non-coding RNA, 754 nt
Filed under: Brassica napus (rape)
Lineage: Eukaryota; Viridiplantae; Streptophyta; Magnoliopsida; Brassicales; Brassicaceae
Description: long non-coding RNA (BNAP_LNC010400)
Source: RNAcentral
AAAUCUAAUCCUCACUUUUUAAAAAUUAUGCUCACAUUUUCUUUGUCCACAAUUCAUGCAUUUAUAUUAUUUUUUUCGUGGAUGGCUUAUCCAUCCAAUACUAUCUACAAUAUUUUAAUUAUAAAAUUAUUUUCUAUGUUUUUAUUUUUAAAUUUCUAAAGUAUAUAUAAAUGGAUGUCGAAAUGUAGAGGAUGAAAAGUUAAAAUUUAUUACAUCAAAUUUAUUUAUUUCUAUUUAUUAAUAUUUGAGAUAAAAACAAAUAAGUAAAUGAGGUUGAAAUUAAUAACAAAGCUCUUAUCAGGGGUAUUAUUGUCCGAUCAAAUAGCAAGUGCCAAAGAAAAGUGCCUCAAAUGUUGAAUGUGUCUCUGAAUGUAAGACAAACUCAGAAUGUGACCCAUGGUGUAAACAACUCUUAACUUUAUAAUAGGGCAAAUCUCCAAAAUAGCACAUUUCUAAGUUUAUAUCACAAAAAUAGCACUCAAGAACUAAAAUGACCAAAAUAGCACCUUUCUAAGUUUAUCCUUUGAAAAUUUUAAUUUUUUUUAUUUUUCAAAAUUUGAAAUCUUACCCUCAAAACCUCAUUUCUCAACUUUAAACCCUAAACCCUAAACUCUAAACCCUAAACCCUAAACUCUAAACCAUAAACCCUAAAGCAUAAACCCUAAACCCUAAACUCUAAACCCUAAACCCUAAACCCUAAACCCUAAAAUCUAAACCCUAAACCCUAAACCCUAAACCCUAAAUCCUAAACCCC